GGAUGUGAGGGCGAUCUGGCUAUGACAUCUGUCACCCCAUUGAUCGCCAGGGUUGAUUCGGCUGAUCUGGCUGGCUAGGCGGGUGUCCCCCUCCUCCCUCACCGAUCCAUGUGCGUCCCUCCCGAAGCUGCGCGCUCGGUCGAAGAGGACGACCUUCCCCCCCGAGGAGAGGACCGGUCUUCGGUCAAGGGUAUACGAGUAGCUGCGCUCCCCUGCUAGAACCUCCAAACAAGCUCUCAAGUUUAGAAAUAUAGGAAAUGGAAUAAAAAUAAAACAACCUUUCUCUGUCUCACUUUUGGAAAAGAUUUCUAAUUGUUAAAAUAAUUCCUCUUU
Molecule: small nuclear RNA, 333 nt
Filed under: Myotis davidii
Lineage: Eukaryota; Metazoa; Chordata; Mammalia; Chiroptera; Vespertilionidae
Description: 7SK RNA
Rfam family: 7SK RNA
About the family: 7SK was discovered as an abundant small nuclear RNA in the mid-70s but a possible function has only recently been suggested.
Source: Rfam by way of RNAcentral